GGAGUCGGACCUGCCCGGUGAAGAUUUUUAACGGCCGCGGUACUCUGACCGUGCAAAGGUAGCAUAAUCAUUUGCCUUAUAAUUGAAGGCUAGUAUGAAUGGUUUGACAAGAAUAUAACUGUCUCUCUGCAGUUUUUUAGAAUUUUAUUUAUGGGUGAAGAAGCCUAUAUUCAAUUAAUAGACAAGAAGACCCUAUCGAGCUUGAAAGAAAUUGGUGAAAUAAAGCAAACAAAUAAGUAACUAAAAUGUAGGUCACUAAAUAUUUUAGUUGGGGCGACUGAGGAACAAAAAAAGCUUCCUUUAUAAAUAUAUAAAGCCAAACGAGCUUUGAUCCAAAAAAUUUUGAUUAAAGAAAUUAGUUACCGUAGGGAUAACAGCAUAAUCCUUUUUGAGAGCUCCUAUCGAAAAAGGGGUUUGUGACCUCGAUGUUGGACCAGAAUAUCCUAAAGAUGUAGCAGUCUUUAAGGG
RNAcentral lists this ribosomal RNA (468 nucleotides) under Melongena patula. RNAcentral describes it as "partial 16S ribosomal RNA". It matches the Rfam family "Bacterial large subunit ribosomal RNA", at positions 1849 to 2571 of the family's 2925-position model. Lineage: Eukaryota; Metazoa; Mollusca; Gastropoda; Neogastropoda; Melongenidae. The record is from RNAcentral.